Medicago truncatula (barrel medic) is the source of this 2118-nucleotide long non-coding RNA. RefSeq lists it as uncharacterized. The transcript is spliced from 3 exons. The record is from RefSeq and is a predicted model, not a curated record. Lineage: Eukaryota; Viridiplantae; Streptophyta; Magnoliopsida; Fabales; Fabaceae.
GUUGAAGCAACAUAAUACACUCAUCACUUGAAGCAUUUUAUAAUCCCACUCUACUCAUCUCUCAAAACAAUUUCAAAUUUCGGCCAAUAUUCUUUUGUUUCGGUUCAUGUUUUAACCAUCAUUAAUCAUUGCACUUUGUCCAAAUCCAAACCCUAAUUUCGGUUGUUUAGAGAACAAGGUUUGGGACUGCUCAAAAUCAGUAGAUAUAUUUAUUAAGAAAUAUGUGAAGAAGCAUGGCUGCAAGAAGUUCAGGAGGACUCAAAGUGAAAGGAAAUUUUUUGUACACGGUUUGCUUAUCGUUGGAUCAGUUCUGGCUCGGAAGGACGACCUUCUUCAACAGGGGCAAUAUGUUGUUCUGCGUGCGUUUCUUGCUGAGCACGCUUGUCAUUUUCAGCAGGUGUGUCCUUUGCUGGUUGAUUACCACUCCUUUUCCUUGUCAUUUUCAGCAAGUGUGUCCUUUGCUGAGCACGUUUGUCUAGUGCAUUUGGCUUGGUAGGAGCAUGAAUUUUGUUUAUAAUUAGUUAUUGAACUUGAUUAGAUAUCGGGGUAAUCUUAGUCCUUAAUCCUAACUAUUUGUAAUGAUACAGAAAAUGAACACGUGUAAAUAAGGCCCACAUAAGUUUUGAUUUGCAGGUAGAAAUGAUCUUUGAUUGUAAUACUCUCGGCUGGUAAUUUAGAAGCUAAAUAACUAAUAUUCAGAAUACUUGCAUCCCGGAGAAAUGAGUCUUAUUGAUGACGGUGGUAACGGUGUUGUUCAAUCCAUGUAACCAACUUCGUUGAGUGGGAAAUGACUUUCAUUGUUUUAUUUCAAUAGAAUUUGGUUUUGAUGGAUCAUUUUAAUUAUAAUUGAAAUCGGUUAAGCAAGAAUAUCGUUUCAUGUAUUUCAUUUAAUUUAAUCUUUUCAUGUAUUUCAUUUUAAAAAAGAAACUACCGUCGCACGUGGGAAGUAAGUUUUGUACGUGUUCCGUGAAAAUUCAUUGACAAUCUUCCGUGACAUAUAACAUCUUUAUAGGAUUGGGAUGCAAGUAUUCUGAAUAUUAAUUAUUUAGCUUCUAAAUUACCAGCCGAGAGUAUUACAAUCAAAGAUCAUUUCUACCUCCAAAUCAAAACUUAUGUGAGCCUUAUUUACACGUGUUCAUUUUCUGUAUCAUUACAGAUAGUUAGGAUUAAGGACUAAGAGUACCCCGAUAUCUAAUCAAGUUCAACAACUAAUUAUAAACAAAAUCAUGCUCCUACCAAGCCAAAUGCACUAGACAAUUACUCCAUAAAGUAAGUGUUUAUCAAUACUCCUUGGUUCAUCUCUGGGUUUGUUAUUAUGAUGGAACAAAUUUGCUAAAAAGAUUGCUAAAAAGACAGAAUAUCGUUUACUUUUAGUCCAAAAAAAGUUUAUAUGUUUGUUAUUAGAAUCUGAAGAUAAAAAAUAUAAAAACGGCUACAUAUGAAAAGUUGUUUUGAGAGUCCCUUUCUUGUAAUUUAUUUUGCAGCAUUAAGAAAAUUUUGGUAAAAGAUUAUGAGAAUAUUGCAUUUGGAGUUAUGAUUUAUUGAUUGUGAUGUUUCCAUUCAAUUUAAAUCAUGUUAGAAACAUCCCUUUGUGCCUAUUCAGUUGUACUAUCUUGGUGUUCAUUCAUGUAAUAAUCAAGAUAUGAUCCAUCAAGACCAUUUUGAUAUAUACUCUGCAUUCAUGCAUGGAUAAUAAUUCAUAUCAUUAGAACAUGACAUUUAACAAAAACUCGCGUUUCAACUUUCAAUAAACACAAGAGAAGCUUUUCAACAAAAAUAACCUAGAUUAUAUCAUUAGCAGUAAAAAAAUUGUGACCAAUGCACAGUCAAAUAGAAUUAAAAGCACUGUCACCUUUUAAACUAAAAUCAAUAACUUUUAAACUCUUCCUUUCCUCCAUUCUUCCUUUCAUCUAACCAGCGCACAAAUGUCUUGACGUGCUUUCUAAAUGUCAGAAACCAAACUUUCAACAUAAACCUUGGUAGAGAACCAUUGUAUUUCAUCGAUAAUUCUAGCCAACUUUACUGUAUUAUUCCUCAAAUUAUAUAGAAUUGCUCGUUGUUCUUGAUUAUUAGCCAAUAUUAGUGUAUUGUUGUGAUCCGAAAGGUGCAAUGGCAACA